Molecule: long non-coding RNA, 1220 nt
Filed under: Heterocephalus glaber (naked mole-rat)
Lineage: Eukaryota; Metazoa; Chordata; Mammalia; Rodentia; Bathyergidae
Description: lncRNA (ENSHGLG00100050444.1)
Source: RNAcentral
CUUUACCCCAACUUUGUCAGUCCUGUCUUUCUGUCCCCUGCACUCUUAUGUUUCAUGUUUCUUUCUUCUCUAACUCCUACCAUUUCUCUUUUCUUUUCCCAUAUUUCUCUACUAUGACAGUUGGUUUUUUCUCACUUGCCCUGAUCUUUUGUUUUCUCCACUCCUGUUACUUAUUUCAUUUAAUUUUGCCUUUAUUUUCCAGCUUCCUUUGCCCCUUUUGUUCUCUCUGCUAAACUGCCCAGCUUAUUCAUUUUCUUGUAUUCCCUUUCUUCUCUGAUAUAGCCAAUCUAAUUUCUGUCAGAAGCUUAUUUUCAUGCUUUUGCUGAGCCUCUAUCUCUUCUAAAAACCUCUACCUUAUUUCAGACUGCGGUGAUCAACUGGAGUCCUCGAAGAAGCAUCUGGGUAGAGGCGAAGCCCAAGGAGAUUGCCAACUUACACACCGUCACUGCCUUGGCCUGGAAGCGGGCGGGAUGCCUCAGGACUCUGCACAGGCGCACUCUGUGGUGCAGUGGAACAGUCUGACUGCUGCCUCCGAAGGAGCAUUUACAGGAAUAAGUUUGAGCUGACCUGUGUGGGACCCAGGCAGGUCUCUGCCCCAGAUCUCCUUGUCAAUGACGGGCUUCUGGACCCUUUAUUCCAUAAUCAGGCUCAUUGGCAUUUGGGAAAGCAGCAGAAGGAGGGAGGCACUCAGCAUCGGCCGGCAGGCAGAGCUCUGAGCCAAGCAGCCCCAGCAGCUGAGCAUUGGAUGACAGUUGUUUUCUCUAAACUAAACCUCAGUAUCCACAUUUAAUUGCAGUGUUGGCACUUUGUAAUAAAUAAGUGGAUUUGGGGUUACAGUUUGGGCACUCGAUCUCUAAAAGGUUCUCCAUCCCUGCUCUAGGAAGCCACUAUGACCUAGGAAGGUCACUUUGACCUCCUCCUGUCCUCCUCCCCUGAAGUAGGCCAUAAGACUCAUUAGCAUCCACAUCAGCAAGGCAUGGUGUUCCAAGCCAGUAAUCCAGCUGCUUGGGAGGCUGAGGCAGGAGGGCGGUGAGUUUGAGGCCAUCCCAGGGAGCUCAAUGAGUCCCUGUCUCAAAAUUUAAAGAAAAAAAAAGGUUUAAGGGACGUAUCUCAGUGGUAGAGCAUCCCUGGGUUUCCAGUACCACCAAAACAAAAACUACCCCAACAUAUCCUGAGCUCUGAAGACAAGGGACACACAGAAGAAUAGGAUAAAACAGGAC